CCUUGACAUCUGACAAAUAGCUCAGUUGGUAGAGCAUGGGACUCUUAAUCUAAAGGUUGUGGGUUCGAGCCCCACAUUGAGGG
Molecule: non-coding RNA, 83 nt
Organism: Podarcis lilfordi (Lilford's wall lizard)
Lineage: Eukaryota; Metazoa; Chordata; Lepidosauria; Squamata; Lacertidae
Source: the annotation of a GenBank genome assembly